RNAcentral lists this ribosomal RNA (253 nucleotides) under Bilophila wadsworthia. RNAcentral describes it as "partial 16S ribosomal RNA". It matches the Rfam family "Bacterial small subunit ribosomal RNA", at positions 524 to 776 of the family's 1533-position model. Lineage: Bacteria; Pseudomonadati; Thermodesulfobacteriota; Desulfovibrionia; Desulfovibrionales; Desulfovibrionaceae. The record is from RNAcentral.
UACGUAGGGGGCAAGCGUUAUCCGGAUUUACUGGGCGUAAAGCGCACGUAGGCGGCUUGGUAAGUCAGGGGUGAAAUCCCACAGCCCAACUGUGGAACUGCCUUUGAUACUGCCAGGCUUGAGUACCGGAGAGGGUGGCGGAAUUCCAGGUGUAGGAGUGAAAUCCGUAGAUAUCGGGUGGAACACCGGUGGCGAAGGCGGCCCUCUGGGCCGAGACCGACGCUGAGGCGCGAAAGCUGGGGGAGCGAACAGG